CCCGGCGAUCUCACAUUUGCUUGUGGCUGGUGCCAGCUACAAGCGCCAUUUACAUUCCAAUCAUCCCAAAAUUUAAAUUUCUAGAUCAGCUUGCUUUUCUGAAUUCCAGAUGCAAAUGAUCUAAUUGUCCAUUAACAUUCCCACUUGCACUUCUUAGGGGCACUCUGCUAAUCCUCUCUCUCUGCGGCUGCUUGUUGCUUCCUGUCGUGGACUGUAGUUUUCUUCCCCAGCACUUGCCAGUUUACAGCCAGUCACUCCGGGUGGCCAGUGUCUUUCUCCUUCCUCGCCUGUAACCUCACAGGACUGCAGGAGCCUUGCUUGUUUGCCUCACCACUGCAUCCCAAGGAUGUAGCAGAGUGCCUGACACAUGGCAACCAAGCACAGAGAUCCUUGAGAGAUGAAGAAAAAACAAGAUGAGUCCUCUAACAGCUCAGCUUACUGUUUUGAGGACAUUUUCAGGUGUAGCAUGGGGAGGAGAAGCUCAGAAGACUCUCUGAGUUAAGGAGAUUGAACAAAGCAUCAAGGAGGACCAAAGCAUUUGGAGUAUAGAGUACCAGAGUAUAUAAAGCUCUAAGUGAGAGAACCCUGAAGAAUUAUAGAAGGUUCCCCUUAACUAUUCAACAGAGUACAUACAGACCAACGCAGAUAUGCGAGGAAACUACUUGGAGCUAGGAAAAGAACCAUUUGAAAAGAUUAGAGGAAAUAGUACUGAAUGCUCAUACAGGACUGGGGACUCUGACUGCUUCAAUCAACAAUGCUAGAAAACUCAACCCGUUGGGUGUUGGGUAGAGUACUUGGUAAGGUCUUACCUCUGUUGCAAGGAAUGACUGGCCCUAGACAUAGCACUGGUCUAGACAUGCCUACCAAAUCAUAGUUGCAAGACUGAAAAAAAAUCAAGUUGUUUGUAAGAAAUUUAACAGCAUCACAGAACAAAAUUCAAGAAUAUUUAGAGGAAUACAAAAAUGUCCCACACUGAAAAAGACAAACUUUUCAAUGUCAGACAGCUAAUCAAAGAUUACCAGACACACAAAGAAGCAGGAAACUUCUCCUAUAUGAGUCACAUGGGAGAAUACACAUAUAAUUAAAACUGACCCAGAUGUUAGAAUUCGCAGAAAAAUUUAUUAUAAAGUUAUAACAUUCCAUGUUUUCAAAAAGUUAAGUAGAGACAGGGAAGAUGUAGAAAGAAACUCAAAUUGAAUUUUUAUAAAGAUGGAAACAAUAAUGUCUUCAGUGAAAGCACAUAGGAUGGGAUUAGCAAUGGUUUAGACACUGCAGAAGUACAUAUUAAUGUGCUUGACGACAUAAUAACUUUAGAAAGUAAAACACAAGGAAGAUAUUAAGAAAAGAGCAUCAGUGGACUAUGAGUAAACUUCAAGUGAUGUAAUAGAUAUAUAACUGUAGGCCUUAAAGGCGUAGGAGAACAGAAAAAAUAGUUAAAGGAAUAAUGAUCAAUCAUGAUGAAAACUAUAAACAUGCAGAUUCAAAAAUUAUCAACCCCAAGCAAAAAGUGAAGAAAACUACACCAAAGCCAUCCAGAAUCUACAAGGAAAUCAAAUAAGCAAGAAAAAAGCAGUUCUGUCAAAAAGUGGGCUAAGGACAAUGAAUACACAAUUCUCAAGAGAAGAUACACAAAUGGCCAAGAAACAUGAAAAAAUGCUCAACAUAGUUACCAGGGCAAGGCAAAUCCAAACCACCCUGUGAUACCACCUUACCCACAAGAAUGGCCAGAAUUAAAAAAUAAAAGAUGUUUUUUUUUGUGGUGAAAAGGGAACACUUUUACACUGUUGGUGGGUUGUAAACUAGUACAACCACUAUGGAAAACAGUGUGGAGAUUCCCUAAAGAACUAAAAGUAGAUCUACCAUUUGAUCCCGCAAUCGCACUACUGGGUAUCUACCCAGAGGAAAAGAAGUUAUUAUAUGAAAAAGAUACACUUUCAGAUGCAUAUUUAUAGCAGCACAAUUUGCAUUUGCAGAAAUAUGGAGCCAGCCGAAAUGCUCAUCAAUCAAUGAGUUGAUAAAGAAAAUGCGGUGUAUAUAUAUGUAUAUAUAUAUUAAAAAGUUAUAACAUUCCAUGUUUUCAAAAAGUUUAGUAGAGACAGGGAAGAUGUAGAAAGAAACUCAGGAAUGAGAAACAUCAUAUGUUCUCACUUACAAGUGGGAGCUAAGGUAUGAAGACACAAAGGCAUAAGAAUGGUACAAAGGACUUUGGAGACUCAGGGGAAAGAGUGGAGGUGGGUGGGGGAUAAAAGACUUCACAUCAGGUAGAAUGUUUACUGCUUGGAUCACAGGUGCACCAAUAUCUCAGAAAUCAGCACUAACGGGCUUAUCCAUGUAACCAAACAUGAACUGUUCCCCAAAAACCUAUUGAAAUAAAAAAAUAAGUAAAAAUUGCUUAAAUGCAAUGAUAAAAAUAAAACCUUAGAAGCAGCCAGAAAAAAAAAA
This 2442-nucleotide long non-coding RNA is filed under the name Callithrix jacchus (white-tufted-ear marmoset). RNAcentral describes it as "lncRNA (ENSCJAG00000073667.1)". The record is from RNAcentral. Lineage: Eukaryota; Metazoa; Chordata; Mammalia; Primates; Cebidae.